CUACGGGCGGUUGCAGUGGGGAAUAUUGCGCAAUGGGGGAAACCCUGACGCAGCAACGCCGCGUGAAGGAUGAAGGUUUUCGGAUCGUAAACUUCUUUGAUGAGGGAAGAAAAAUGACGGUACCUCAAAAACAAGCCACGGCUAACUACGUGCCAGCAGCCGCGGUAAUACGUAGGUGGCGAGCGUUGUCCGGAAUUACUGGGUGUAAAGGGCGUGUAGGCGGGAAUGUAAGUCAGAUGUGAAAUUCCGGGGCUCAACUUCGGAGCUGCAUCUGAAACUAUAUUUCUUGAGUGCUGGAGAGGAAAGCGGAAUUCCUAGUGUAGCGGUGAAAUGCGUAGAUAUUAGGAGGAACACCAGUUGCGAAGGCGGCUUUCUGGACAGUAACUGACGCUGAGGCGCGAAAGCGUGGGGAGCAAACAGGAUUAGAUACCCCAGUAGUC
Molecule: ribosomal RNA, 440 nt
Filed under: uncultured bacterium
Lineage: Bacteria
Description: partial 16S ribosomal RNA
Rfam family: Bacterial small subunit ribosomal RNA
Source: RNAcentral